Saimiri boliviensis boliviensis (Bolivian squirrel monkey) is the source of this 3303-nucleotide non-coding RNA. The record is from RefSeq and is a predicted model, not a curated record. Lineage: Eukaryota; Metazoa; Chordata; Mammalia; Primates; Cebidae.
CGCUCUAGCCGCCCCACUCGUUGCUCUGCGGGGAGGCGGGCGCGCCCGCCCGGGUUCCUCCAAGAUGGCGGCGCAGAGGAGGAGCCUGCUGCAGAGUGAGCAGCAGCCAAGCUGGACAGACGACCUUCCGCUCUGCCACCUCUCUGGGGUUGGCUCAGCCUCCAACCGCAGCUACUCUGCUGAUGGCAAGGGUACCGAGAGCCACCCGCCAGAGGACAGCUGGCUCAAGUUCAGAAGUGAGAACAACUGCUUCCUGUAUGGGGUCUUCAACGGCUACGAUGGCAACCGAGUGACCAACUUCGUGGCCCAGCGGCUGUCCGCGGAGCUCCUCCUGGGCCAGCUGAAUGCUGAGCAUGCUGAGGCCGACGUGCGGCGUGUGCUGCUGCAGGCCUUCGAUGUGGUAGAGAGGAGCUUCCUGGAGUCCAUUGACGAUGCCUUGGCUGAGAAGGCAAGCCUCCAGUCGCAACUGCCAGAGGGCGUCCCUCAGCACCAACUGCCUCCUCAGUAUCAGAAGAUCCUGGAGAGACUCAAGACGUUGGAGAGGGAAAUUUCGGGAGGGGCCAUGGCUGUUGUGGCGGUCCUUCUCAACAACAAGCUCUACGUCGCCAAUGUCGGUACAAACCGUGCACUUUUAUGCAAAUCGACGGUGGAUGGGUUGCAGGUGACACAGCUGAAUGUGGACCACACCACGGAAAACGAGGAUGAGCUCUUCCGCCUUUCACAGCUGGGCUUGGACGCCGGGAAGAUCAAGCAGGUGGGGAUCAUCUGUGGGCAGGAAAGCACCCGGCGCAUCGGGGAUUACAAGGUCAAAUAUGGCUACACGGACAUUGACCUUCUCAGCGCUGCCAAGUCCAAACCAAUCAUCGCAGAGCCUGAAAUUCAUGGGGCACAGCCACUGGAUGGGGUGACUGGCUUCCUGGUGCUGAUGUCGGAGGGGCUGUACAAGGCCCUGGAGGCAGCCCAUGGGCCUGGGCAGGCCAACCAGGAGAUUGCCGCAAUGAUUGACACUGAGUUCGCCAAGCAGACCUCGCUCGACGCGGUAGCCCAGGCAGUGGUGGACCGGGUGAAGCGCAUCCACAGCGACACCUUCGCCAGCGGUGGGGAGCGUGCCAGGUUCUGCCCCCGGCAUGAGGACAUGACCCUGCUGGUGAGGAACUUUGGCUACCCGCUGGGCGAAAUGAGCCAGCCCACAACAAGCCCGGCCCCAGCUGCAGGGGGACGAGUGUACCCUGUGUCUGUGCCAUACUCCAGUGCCCAGAGCACCAGCAAGACCAGCGUGACCCUCUCUCUUGUCAUGCCCUCCCAGGGCCAGAUGGUCAACGGGGCGCACAGCGCUUCCACCCUGGAUGAAGCAACCCCCACCCUCACCAACCAAAGCCCCACCUUAACCCUGCAGUCCACCAACACGCACACGCAGAGCAGCAGCUCCAGCUCCGACGGGGGCCUCUUCCGCUCCCGGCCUGCCCACUCACUCCCGCCUGGCGAGGACGGCCGCGUUGAGCCCUAUGUGGACUUUGCUGAGUUUUACCGCCUCUGGAGUGUAGACCAUGCUUUCCCAGCCGAGCCACCGGGGGUCCUGAUGACGACCAUAGUCCCUGAACACCCCUGGAGCUGUGGUGUCAGCACUACCACCAGAGAGAGAGAAGCAUGGUUCACAAAUUGGGACUUCCAGAGGGAAGCCAGCCAGUCUGGAACCUGAAGUGCUGCUGCAGGUGCUUGAUGGCGGGUGGGGCUGGCAGCCCCCCAUCUUCCUUCCUGCCCCAAGACCACGUGACCUUUCCUGACCUGGUGCUUCUGGCCGCUCUCCCCUCGGAUUUUCCUCCAUAACCACUGGCCUCUAAGCUGGAGCAAAAGGACACUGCAAGGCCACUUGAGGCCUAGCCUGGACAUUUCCUGGUCCCUUCUACCUCAUCCUGGUGGCCACAGCAAGUCACAGGGCUGUCCAGAUUUCAGGGAGGGAGAAAUGGUGGACGCACGGCCGAGGGUGGGGAGGGAGGGAACCCUGCAGCCAUUUUUGGCGGAUACCUCCCACCCAAGGACCUCGAGCCUCAGAGCCGUCCUUAACUGCUGGCAGCCUCUGGUGGGGCCGGGCGGGAGAGCGUAUGGUGAUCAAUCUCCAGGCAUGCGGAAGAAGCCUGGGAGGCUCACAGCCCAGCUGGGUGGGGUGGGGGACCUAGAGGAGGAUACCCUGACUCUGGACAGGCCCCAGGGGAACCAAAUGCCCCAGAGCCUUUUCCUCCAGAGGCCCUGGCUCUGUCCCCGUCCCUGAGAGUGUUUUCCCAGGCCCCAGCAGGGAAUGAGAAUGAGCCAGCCUGUUCCUCCUAUAGGUGACAACACUCGGCCCUGCCUAGGCUUUCUGGAGGGUACCGCACAGCAGCCGCUCCCUGGCCCUGCCUCGGCCUCACAGGUUCUCACCAAAUGUCCCCAGACAAUGAUGUUCACUGGGUGGGGGAACCCAGGAGGAUCCCUCCCUUCCACCCCCUAGAGGCCUCCUGAACCUCACAGUGACCUCCCAGCACAGGUGCUGCCACUCAUUAGCUGCCUGAUCUUGGGAAAGUGAACUCCACUGCUUUGUGCCUCCGUUUCCUUAUCUGAAAAAUGGGGAGAAAGGAAGGGCAGAUGUGUUUGCUCUUUGCCAGGCCCCGCUCUCAGCACUUUGCAUCUAGCAACUCAUGCAAGCCUCCCAACAGCCCUGUGAGGCGGGGUCUGCUAUUACACGCCUCACUUUACAGAUGAGGGAAUGAAGGCACAGAGAGGGCAAGCGACUUGCCUGAGGUUACACAGUGAGUCAGUGAAUCUCGGAGCUGGGCCCAGGCAACCCAAGUCUGUCUCAUUAGCUGCUGUGCCUGACGUCACUGGCUUGCGUGGCAAUGCAGGAUGCUCCCAGCCCGUGGUCAGUGCUGUGGGGUUUGCUUCUGUGGUUAGCACCCCUGUCCUCUUUCUGGAGCCUGCACUGCACCUGCGCCCCCAGUGCCUGCGCUCCGCCUCCUUAUUCCUUCCCGUUUCUAUACCAUAGUGCGGCUGAGGUUGUCUUAAACCAGAAUUUGUUUGAGCCCCUGAGCUUUUUAGGUGCAGCUCCUCGUGCCUCGCAGAGCAGCUGGCAGGAAGUGUGUAUGGCAGCCAGAACUCUCGCCGCAGAUGCAGGCCUUGUUCAUGGAGCGCAGGGCAGCCAAGGCAGGUGAGAGGCCCUCAGUGUGUGUCUAUGCAAGUCCGAACGUGUCAGGGGAGGGCAAAGGGAGAGUAACUGGGAUGAAAAGUCUGGAAACCAUGUCCUAGGAGGAGGCGUUAAAGAACCUGGGAAGG